CAUCUAGUCCAACACCCCUGCAAUGAACGGAGACAGCUACAGCUAGAUCAGGGUACUCAAAGCCCCAUCCAGCCUGACCUUGACUGUCUCCAAGAAUGGGGCUCCCACCACCUCUCUGGGCAACCUGUUCCAGUGCCUCACCACCCUUAUUGCAAAGAACUUCUUCCUUAUAUCCAGUAUAAAUCUUCCCCUUAUAGCUUGAAACCACUUCCUCUUGUCCCAUCACAAUAAACCCUUCUAAAGAGUCUGUCCCCUUCUUUCCUGUAGCUCCCCUUUAGAUAUGAAUGGCUGCUCUCAGGUCUCCCUGGAGCCUUCUCUUCUCCAGGCUGAACAGCCCCUGCUCUUUCAGCAUGUCCUCUUAGGAGACGUGUUCCAUCCCUUGGAUCAUUUUUGUGACCCUCCUCUGGAUGCACUCCAACAGGUCAGUGCCUCUCCUGUACAAAGGACGCCACAUCUGGACCCAGUACUCCAGGUGAGGCCUUGCCAGCGCAGAGUAGAGGACAGGACCAUCUCCCUGGCCCUGCUCACCAUGCUUCUUUCGAAUGGCAUCCCGUCCCUCAAGUGUGUCAGCUGCAUUUUCAUGGAGGAUGUUUAGAGAGAAGAGAUUAUUUCAUCUGCGGGUGUCAUCUACGUAUGAAUGGAGCAUUUUUCUGCUGGUGAUGUUUUCAUAUUUCAAAUUCUGCCCUCUCACCUUUGGAGAACAAGAGAGUCCAUCCACAGAGAACAAAAUCCUGGAGGUGUUCUGCAGAGCAGGUAGGCACCUCAGAUUUCUCUUUCCAGCAACCUCCUUUGGAGGCCAUCAGUGGCCGGAGCUGCUCUGCUGUCACAUUUAAAGGGAGAUGCAUCCAGGCUGGACAGACUGGCUGGACUCUGAUGGAAACCAUUUCAAGUAAGCUGGUUAUUUUUAUUGCUUUUUCCCUAUUUCACUGAAUCGUGUAACCUGAUAAAUAC
Molecule: long non-coding RNA, 951 nt
Filed under: Gallus gallus (chicken)
Lineage: Eukaryota; Metazoa; Chordata; Aves; Galliformes; Phasianidae
Description: long non-coding RNA NONGGAT008344
Source: RNAcentral